Non-coding RNA from Camellia sinensis, 359 nucleotides. Lineage: Eukaryota; Viridiplantae; Streptophyta; Magnoliopsida; Ericales; Theaceae. The record is from RefSeq and is a predicted model, not a curated record.
UUUAGCUUUAACUUCAUCGUAAGAAUAUUCUUCUUUUCUGGUUGAGCAGAUCAUAUUGACUGCAUUGGGAGAGAUGUUUCAAGCUGCUCGUAGUAUCAUGGGCUGGCUCGGUGACUGUGCAAAGGGAAAUGAUAUGCAUACGACAAAGUUGCUAAACAUUUGAAGUGGCUAAAACAAUAUCGAUGGGGCCAUCAUUGAAAAGUGGAUCAAAAGUUGGGAAAAGUGGAUCAAAAGUUCACGAACCAGACCAGCACCCUCCCCAACAUAUUUCUUAACAAGUUCACGAAGCUAAAUUGUACAAGACUACUUGGCAGUAUAAGCAUUUUUUGGAGGAUUAAAUAUUUGUGGAUAGAUGUGUA